AACGAACGCUGGCGGCAUGCCUAACACAUGCAAGUCGAACGAUCCCUUCGGGGUUAGUGGCGCACGGGUGCGUACCGCGUGGGAACCUGCCCUUAGGUUCGGAAUAACUCAGAGAAAUUUGAGCUAAUACCGGAUAAUGUCUUCGGACCAAAGAUUUAUCGCCUUUGGAUGGGCCCGCGUUGGAUUAGCUAGUUGGUGGGGUAAAGGCCUACCAAGGCGACGAUCCAUAGCUGGUCUGAGAGGAUGACAAGCCACGCUGGGACUGAGACACGGCCCAGUAUCCGAGGGAACAGAGCAGUAGGGAAUAUUGUGCAAUGGACGAAAGCCUAGUCCAGCAACGCGGGGGAAGUGAUGAAUGGCGUAGUGUUCUGAAGCUCUUUUUCCCGGGAUGAGAAUGACGGUACUGGGUGAAUAAGCCCCGGCUAACUACGUG
RNAcentral lists this ribosomal RNA (433 nucleotides) under uncultured bacterium. RNAcentral describes it as "partial 16S ribosomal RNA". It matches the Rfam family "Bacterial small subunit ribosomal RNA", at positions 29 to 507 of the family's 1533-position model. The record is from RNAcentral.